This 784-nucleotide ribosomal RNA is filed under the name uncultured fungus. RNAcentral's name for it is "eukaryotic LSU rRNA". It matches the Rfam family "Eukaryotic large subunit ribosomal RNA", at positions 24 to 664 of the family's 3401-position model. The record is from RNAcentral. Lineage: Eukaryota; Fungi.
CCCGCUGAACUUAAGCAUAUCAAUAAGCGGAGGAAAAGAAACUAACAAGGAUUCCCCUAGUAACGGCGAGUGAAGCGGGAUGAGCUCAAAUUUAAAAUCUGGCUGGUUUACUAGUCCGAAUUGUAGUUUAAAGAAGCGUUUUCGGUGGCAGUCUCGGUAUAAAUCCUUUGGAAUAGGGUAUCAUAGAGGGUGAGAAUCCCGUCUUUGACUGAGAAUUUGCUACUAUGUGAUACGUUUUCAAAGAGUCGAGUUGUUUGGGAAUGCAGCUCAAAAUGGGUGGUAAAUUUCAUCUAAAGCUAAAUAUUGGCGAGAGACCGAUAGCGAACAAGUACCGUGAGGGAAAGAUGAAAAGAACUUUGAAAAGAGAGUUAAACAGUGCGUGAAAUUGUUGAAAGGGAAACGCUUGAAACCAGUCAUGUGGUUGGAAAAUCAGUGUUCAACUGGGGGGAAUGGGGGAGGUGUGGACCGCAAGGCUGCUCUUUUCUAUAUCUCUUUUGUUGGGCAUGCACUUUUUCUUCUGCAGGUCAACAUCAGUUUCUUUUGCUGGACAAAACUCUUGAGAAGGUAGCAGCUUAGGCUGUGUUAUAGCUCUGGAGCGAUACAGUGGAGGAGACUGAGGUUUUCGCAGCAUGUGCUCUCGGGCAAGGCCAAUUGGGUGCUAUGGGAUCGUUCGGGGUACAAUACAUGUAUUUUGCCUCGUGUCUUUUCUAUACUCGUUCAGUUGAGCUCUUCCAUGCUUAGGAUGUUGACUUAAUGGUUUUAAUCGACCCGUCUUGAAACACGG